Molecule: transfer RNA, 82 nt
Filed under: Sphingosinicella soli
Lineage: Bacteria; Pseudomonadati; Pseudomonadota; Alphaproteobacteria; Sphingomonadales; Sphingosinicellaceae
Also listed under: 1 other name
Rfam family: tRNA
About the family: Transfer RNA (tRNA) molecules are approximately 80 nucleotides in length. Their secondary structure includes four short double-helical elements and three loops (D, anti-codon, and T loops).
Source: Rfam by way of RNAcentral
GCGGGCGUGGCGAAACUGGUAGACGCGCCAGAUUUAGGUUCUGGUGUCGAAAGACGUGGGGGUUCGAGUCCCUUCGCCCGCA